CCGAAGCUGCGGAUAUAACUAAUGUUAUAUGGUAGGAGAGCGUUCUAACAUCGUAGAAGCCGAGCUGUAAGGCGAGGUGGAGAGGUUAGAAGUGAGAAUGCCGGUGUGAGUAGCGAAAGACGGGUGAGAAUCCCGUCCACCGAUUGACUAAGGUUUCCAGAGGAAGGCUCGUCCGCUCUGGGUUAGUCGGGUCCUAAGCUGAGGCCGACAGGCGUAGGCGAUGGAUAACAGGUUGAUAUUCCUGUACCACCUAGUAUCGUUUUAAUCGAUGGGGGGACGCAGUAGGAUAGGCGAAGCGUGCUGUUGGAGUGCACGUCCAAGCAGUAAGGCUGAGUGUUAGGCAAAUCCGGCACUCAUAAGGCUGAGCUGUGAUGGGGAGAGGAAAUUGUUUCCUCGAGUCGUUGAUUUCACACUGCCGAGAAAAGCCUCUAGAUAGAUAACAGGUGCCCGUACCGCAAACCGACACAGGUAG
RNAcentral lists this ribosomal RNA (472 nucleotides) under Aurantiochytrium limacinum. Its description in RNAcentral is "partial Bacterial large subunit ribosomal RNA". It matches the Rfam family "Bacterial large subunit ribosomal RNA", at positions 1194 to 1666 of the family's 2925-position model. Lineage: Eukaryota; Bigyra; Thraustochytrida; Thraustochytriidae. The record is from RNAcentral.